GACGAACGCUGGCGGCGUGCUUAACACAUGCAAGUCGAACGGAAAGGCCCUGCUUUUGUGGGGUGCUCGAGUGGCGAACGGGGGAGUAACACGUGAGUAACCUGCCCUUGUCUUUGGGAUAACAUCAGGAAACUGGGGCUAAUACCGGAUAGGAGCUCCUGCUGCAUGGUGGGGGUUGGUAAGAUUCGGCGGUUGGGGCUGGUAUGGCGGGUUAUCAGCUUGUUGGUGGGGUAGUGGCGUAACAAGGCUUUGAAGGGUAGCCGGCCUGAGAGGGUGACCGGCCACAUUGGGACUGAGAUACGGCCCAGAAUCCUACGGGAGGCAGCAGUGGGGAAUAUGACACAAUGGGCGGAAGUCUGAUGCAGCAACGCCGCGUGCGGGAUGACGUCCUUCGGGUUGUAAACCGCUGUCGCCUGUGACGAAGCGUGAGUGACGGUAAUGGGUAAAGAAGCACCGGCUAACUACGUG
This 468-nucleotide ribosomal RNA is filed under the name uncultured bacterium. RNAcentral describes it as "partial 16S ribosomal RNA". It matches the Rfam family "Bacterial small subunit ribosomal RNA", at positions 28 to 507 of the family's 1533-position model. The record is from RNAcentral.